RNAcentral lists this long non-coding RNA (1000 nucleotides) under Dromaius novaehollandiae (emu). RNAcentral's name for it is "lncRNA (ENSDNVG00000005434.1)". The record is from RNAcentral. Lineage: Eukaryota; Metazoa; Chordata; Aves; Casuariiformes; Dromaiidae.
AAUGAAGAACAAUUUCCAAAACUCAUGGGGACUGGGCUUUUGGUGCCGACAAGGAUCAGUCUGAGAAACAUCAGUGAAAGAGAUGUCUGUAUUAAGGAUAUUAGAUACUGGAGAGAAAGGAGCUGGUGGCCCAGUGAGUACUUUCGUAUUCUAAGAAAUAACACUCAACACCUUGAACACAGCUGAGCACUCAGGACAAGGCAGGCUACUAUCACUUUAGUCUCCAAACACCUCAUAUUCUUUAGUAUGUUAUCUUCACACAGUCCUCUGAGACAACAAAGUAUUUCGAUGCUGACUGCCACACAGAGGCUGUAUUUGGAGCCGUGGAGCAUGGAACACCCUUGAGCUCACAGGUCCAGGUCUGCACGUGAACUGUGUCCUUCAGUGGUUUUUAAUAUGGGAAGGAAACCUGGACGCAGCUGACUUCUAGGCUGUGCAGGGAAUCCAUCAAGGACUGGGAAGUCUUUCAAAAUAGUGCUCCCAUCUCUGGGCCUCUUUUCUCCCCUGCUUGGAGGGAUGGGUUGCACUCCGUGAACAUGGCAAGCAGUCAGAUGAGAGAGAAAUUUCUCACUCUUUUUCAUGAAGGGUCUUUUUUUUCUUGCUCUACAGAAAAAAAGGAUAAAUUGAAAGAAAAAACUAUCUUUAGUUAAUAAGAAAAUGAAAUGCAAUUUGCCCAUUUAAACAUAUAUGAGAUUAGACAAAUGUGCAUUCCAUUAAAACUGGUUUUCUUUGAGGAAAAUACUUAGUGUUAGCAGUGAAAAAAAAAGCUUGAGGAAGUAACUUCUAGUAUUACACUGGUGUCACCUGAGUAUUCGUGGUGAAUCRGUGCCAAAAGCUAGAUUUCAUUCAUCAGAAGCCAUACACUGUUUGAUCUAAGUCUGUGAAUGAGUUAGGGUCUGGCUUUUGUGUCUUAUGGGAAAUUCAACAUGGGAUGUCCACAACAUUUCUAUCCUAAAAUGAAACAAAUAAAGACAAAUUGGGGAUUGUUUAAACCCUGUGU